Non-coding RNA from Pelodiscus sinensis (Chinese soft-shelled turtle), 631 nucleotides. The record is from RefSeq and is a predicted model, not a curated record. Lineage: Eukaryota; Metazoa; Chordata; Testudines; Trionychidae.
AUGUCUGGCUUUGUAUUUUUCCAUUUAUUUAGGGUUUUAUGCUGCUCCCCACCACCAUGGUAUCUGGCCCCUUCAAUGGUAGAUCAGUACCAGCCGUCAAGUGCCUAAAGGCCUUCGUGGAGACUGGCACAUCCCUUUUCUAGGCCAAAACACAGCCUGGGGCCGAGGGGCUCACACACAGUGUCUUUGCUGGCGUGGUGGGGAGGCAGAGGGAGGAGGGGCCGUAGGGCUGUGGGCGGGUUGUCAGGGCGUGAGCAGGGCUUCCUGGAAGCUGAGCGCUCGGGUGACUGCCCAGGAGAGAUUCAGAGCACCCCCUCUUUCAAAGAGGAAAACUCAGCAGCUUCCUGCAGAACGUCAGACUCCAGAUGCACGCAGCGGCUCAGGAAGUUUGUUCUACGACAAGGACCCCGAAGAAAAGAAAAUUGCCCUGGAGCUGCUGGAAACGGAGCGAGCCUACGUCCAUCGCCUGCAUCUCCUGGACCAGGUCUUCUUUGUGGAGCUGCUGCAGGAGGCCAGAGGCGGGAAGCUGAUCCCGGAGGACGUGGUGAAAAUGAUCUUCUCCAACAUCUCCUCCAUUUACCAGUUCCACGCCUGCUUCUUCCUGCCGGAGCUGCAGAGGCGCAUGGCGGAC